Molecule: transfer RNA, 74 nt
Filed under: Candidatus Acetothermia bacterium
Lineage: Bacteria; Candidatus Bipolaricaulota
Description: tRNA-Gly
Rfam family: tRNA
About the family: Transfer RNA (tRNA) molecules are approximately 80 nucleotides in length. Their secondary structure includes four short double-helical elements and three loops (D, anti-codon, and T loops).
Source: RNAcentral
GCGGGUAUAGCUCAAUGGUAGAGCCCUGGCCUUCCAAGCCAGAGGUGCGGGUUCGAUUCCCGCUACCCGCUCCC